RNAcentral lists this ribosomal RNA (468 nucleotides) under uncultured bacterium. RNAcentral describes it as "partial 16S ribosomal RNA". It matches the Rfam family "Bacterial small subunit ribosomal RNA", at positions 28 to 507 of the family's 1533-position model. The record is from RNAcentral.
GACGAACGCUGGCGGCGUGCUUAACACAUGCAGGUAGAACGGAAAGGCCCUGCUUUUGUGGGGUGCUCGAGUGGCGAACGGGUGAGUAACACGUGAGUAACCUGCCCUUGACUUUGGGAUAACUUCAGGAAACUGGGGCUAAUACCGGAUAGGAGCUCCUGCUGCAUGGUGGGGGUUGGAAAGUUUCGGCGGUUGGGGAUGGACUCGCGGCUUAUCAGCUUGUUGGUGGGGUAGUGGCUUACCAAGGCUUUGACGGGUAGCCGGCCUGAGAGGGUGACCGGCCACAUUGGGACUGAGAUACGGCCCAGACUCCUACGGGAGGCAGCAGUGGGGAAUAUUGCACAAUGGGCGGAAGCCUGAUGCAGCAACGCCGCGUGCGGGAUGACGGCCUUCGGGUUGUAAACCGCUUUCGCCUGUGACGAAGCGUGAGUGACGGUAAUGGGUAAAGAAGCACCGGCUAACUACGUG